This is a long non-coding RNA of Stylophora pistillata, 1439 nucleotides long. Lineage: Eukaryota; Metazoa; Cnidaria; Anthozoa; Scleractinia; Pocilloporidae. The record is from RefSeq and is a predicted model, not a curated record.
UAGGGCUAGUAAUUUUCAAUGCCAAAUUUGGAGAAGUUUGUAUAUUUAAUAAACCACUUGCCCUGUGAUUGAUAUUUUUCUUUCAAUGAUUCAAUCAUCUCCUUGAUGAUGAAUUCAUAUCCAUUAUAUUGUCACUGAUCAAAUAUUUUUAAUACUUUCUUACAGAGGUUCUUCUAAAUGCUGAUUUGUGCAUGCUCAUGUACCAAAAAAUUCAAAACAACAACAUGAGUGUAACAAUGCUGAAAUUAAUUCAACAUUCUAAGAUCCCCCUCAACCCUGCUGCAACUCCUUAAAAGAAAAACUCAAACUCUCAAAAUAUGCUGCAAAUUAUUUAAGUAAUAACCAAAUGCAUUAUGUAAUAUGCUACAAGUAUAGUUAUCAAUUACAUCCUUACUGACUACAUUCCUUUAAUUUUUGUACAGAACAUCAUCCAACAUGUGCAACACCAGCAAGCAACAUAGGUUAAUGUGCCUAUUAUUACAAGACUUUAACAACAUUCUCCUUUCCCCUCCUCCCGCACCCCCCACCAACUUAAGGGUUGUCAAGCUAAUAAUGUUACUUUGGAGAAUUCUGUAUUCAGUCAACCUUUUACUCUGCAAUUUAUAUUUUUCCUCAAUUUCCUCAGUCAUCUCCUUGACAAUGAAUUCCUAUCAAUUACAUUUAUCACUGACUAAAAAUUUCUAAAACUUCUUACAGAGUUUCUUGCAAAUGGUGCUUUGUCCAUAAUGCACCUGCAGCAACAACUUCAAUUAAAAACAAUAAUUAGAUGCAUAUAAUUUUAACUACAUACCAAUGCUGACUACAAAUCUUUGUAACUUUCUUACAGAAUAUUAUUGCAGAUUGUGAAGUAUUGGAGUUCAACAGAGCAAAUAAUCCAUUUAUGAUGAACAUUGUGCCCCACCAUAAUCAACCCAGAACCAGCAAACAGAAGAAGAAACAAUAGAGAAUGCAGUACUGUUUCCCGCAUUAAUUUCUGUGAGCUCACAUCAUUAAACGUUGUUUUAUUUACAAUGGUUGAGGGUGUGAAAAAUUUAAAAGAAAAAAUGUUAAAAGAGAGCGCUACACUGGUACAACAUGGCUACUUUUAUGUCCCAAAUAACCUCAAACUGCAGUGCAAGGUCGUUAUUUACAAAAAGCCUUGGAAACCUUUUUUGUUGGACACUGGUCUAUCUCAAGGUAAAUGCCGCGGACUUCGAGACAUUCGUCCGCCAAUAGAGAAAAUUUGAUUUUCUUGAAUAAAGAAGUUCAUUCUCAGCACAAGGCUACACAUGGCUUGUGGAAAACCUCUCCAGAGAGGGGGACGUGGUUAUCGACGCAGAAACCCCCAAUGACUACGCAAUGGUGGCUGCGUUGAGGAAAGGGCGAAGCGCGGUUAGGAUGGACAGUACCGCUUUGCCGUCCGAACAGACAGUAAUAGAGACUAAAAUUUAUAGUCUUGU